This 387-nucleotide ribosomal RNA is filed under the name uncultured bacterium. RNAcentral describes it as "bacterial SSU rRNA". It matches the Rfam family "Bacterial small subunit ribosomal RNA", at positions 28 to 400 of the family's 1533-position model. The record is from RNAcentral.
GAUGAACGCUGGCGGCAGGCCUAACACAUGCAAGUCGAGCGGCAGCGGGUUCCCGCGAGGGGAUGCCGGCGAGCGGCGGACGGGUGAGGAACACAUCGGAAUCUGCCUGGUUGUGGGGGAUAACGUAGGGAAACUUACGCUAAUACCGCAUGAGACCCUGAGUCGACGGACUGGGGGUGAAAGUGAGGGACCUUCGGGCCUCACGCGACCAGAUGAGCCGAUGUCGGAUUAGCUAGUUGGCGGGGUAACGGCCCGCCAAGGCGACGAUCCGUAGCUGGUCUGAGAGGAUGAUCAGCCACACUGGGACUGAGACACGGCCCAGACUCCUAUGGGAGGCAGCAGUGGGGAAUCUUGGACAAUGGCGCAAGCCUGAUCCAGCCAUGCCGC